AAUGCAGCAACGGGGAGCCAGGGGCAUGCUGGGGAAGAGCAUUCCAGCAGAGACAUGGACACGUGCGAAGGCCCCGAGGUAGGGACGAGCUUUGGGAACACGAGGCAUGUCAGGAAGGCCGGGGCCCCGAGGGAGUGAAGACCAGGCGAGUGGGAGGGCCUGAGCACAACAGACGUGCACACGGUGGCCUCCCUGCUGAAGCUGUACCUGCGGGAGCUCCCCGAGCCCGUGGUCCCCUUCGCCAGGUACGAGGACUUCCUCAGCUGCGCCCAGCUGCUCACCAAGGACGAGGGGGAGGGCACUCUGGAGUUGGCUAAACAAGUGAGCAACCUUCCUCAGGCAAAUUACAACCUGCUCAGAUACAUCUGCAAGUUUCUGGAUGAAGUUCAGGCAUACUCAAAUGUCAACAAGAUGAGUGUCCAGAAUCUGGCAACCGUUUUUGGACCUAACAUUCUGCGGCCACAGGUAGAGGACCCAGUAACCAUCAUGGAAGGUA
Molecule: long non-coding RNA, 496 nt
Filed under: Homo sapiens (human)
Lineage: Eukaryota; Metazoa; Chordata; Mammalia; Primates; Hominidae
Description: non-protein coding lnc-FRMPD2-5:4
Source: RNAcentral